Molecule: ribosomal RNA, 789 nt
Filed under: uncultured archaeon
Lineage: Archaea
Description: bacterial SSU rRNA
Rfam family: Archaeal small subunit ribosomal RNA
Source: RNAcentral
ACUGCUCAGUAACACGUGGACAACCUAACCUACAGAGGGGGAUAACCCCGGGAAACUGGGGAUAAUACCCCAUAGACUAUGGAUGCUGGAAUGCUUCGUAGUUGAAAGGUCCGCCGCUGUAGGAUGGGUCUGCGGCCGAUUAGGUUGUUGUUGGGGUAACGGCCCAACAAGCCUGUAAUCGGUACGGGUUGUGGGAGCAAGAGCCCGGAGAUGGAUUCUGAGACACGAAUCCAGGCCCUACGGGGCGCAGCAGGCGCGAAAACUUUGCAAUGCGGGAAACCGUGACAAGGGAACUCUGAGUGCCCGUUAAAUCGGGCUGUCCAUCGGUUUAAAUAACCGGUGAAGAAAGGGCCGGGCAAGACCGGUGCCAGCCGCCGCGGUAAUACCGGCGGCUCGAGUGGUGGCCACUAUUACUGGGCUUAAAGCGUUCGUAGCUGGUUUGUUAAGUCUCUGGGGAAAUCUUCCGGCUUAACCGGAAGGCGUCUCAGGGAUACUGGCAGACUAGGGACCGGGAGAGGUGAGAGGUACUCCAGGGGUAGGAGUGAAAUCCUGUAAUCCUUGGGGGACCACCUGUGGCGAAGGCGUCUCACCAGAACGGCUCCGACAGUGAGGGACGAAAGCUGGGGGAGCAAACCGGAUUAGAUACCCGGGUAGUCCCAGCUGUAAACGAUGCGCGUUAGGUGUAUCGGUGACCACGAGUCACCGAGGUGCCGAAGAGAAAUCGUGAAACGUGCCGCCUGGGAAGUACGGUCGCAAGGCUGAAACUUAAAGGAAUUGGCGGGGGAGCAC